GUAAACAUAGUUUAAGUAAAACAUUAGGCUGUGGACCUAGUAAUAAGCGCGACCCCGCCCUUUAUCUACC
RNAcentral lists this transfer RNA (70 nucleotides) under Cyrtodactylus thirakhupti (Thirakhupts bent toed gecko). RNAcentral describes it as "tRNA His". The record is from RNAcentral. Lineage: Eukaryota; Metazoa; Chordata; Lepidosauria; Squamata; Gekkonidae.